Molecule: ribosomal RNA, 465 nt
Filed under: uncultured Klebsiella sp.
Lineage: Bacteria; Pseudomonadati; Pseudomonadota; Gammaproteobacteria; Enterobacterales; Enterobacteriaceae
Description: bacterial SSU rRNA
Rfam family: Bacterial small subunit ribosomal RNA
Source: RNAcentral
CCUACGGGAGGCUGCAGUGGGGAAUAUUGCACAAUGGGCGCAAGCCUGAUGCAGCCAUGCCGCGUGUGUGAAGAAGGCCUUCGGGUUGUAAAGCACUUUCAGCGGGGAGGAAGGCGGUGAGGUUAAUAACCUCAUCGAUUGACGUUACCCGCCGAAGAAGCACCGGCUAACUCCGUGCCAGCAGCCGCGGUAAUACGGAGGGUGCAAGCGUUAAUCGGAAUUACUGGGCGUAAAGCGCACGCAGGCGGUCUGUCAAGUCGGAUGUGAAAUCCCCGGGCUCAACCUGGGAACUGCAUUCGAAACUGGCAGGCUAGAGUCUUGUAGAGGGGGGUAGAAUUCCAGGUGUAGCGGUGAAAUGCGUAGAGAUCUGGAGGAAUACCGGUGGCGAAGGCGGCCCCCUGGACAAAGACUGACGCUCAGGUGCGAAAGCGUGGGGAGCAAACAGGAUUAGAUACCCGGGUAGUC